AGUAGCGUAAUCCCUUGUCGGGUAAGUUCCGACCCGCAUGAAAGGCUUAACGACUGGAGAACUGUCUCCAGGAUCUGCUUGGUGAAAUCGCAAUAGAGGCGAGAAUGCCUCUUACCUGUGGCUAGACAAGAAGACCCCAGGAGCUUUACUAUAUCCUGGCAUUGAAUUUUGGUAAUAAUUGCGUAGCGUAGGAGGGAGACUUUGAAGCUAUCUUUUCGGGGAUAGUGGAGUCGCCAAUGAAACACCUCUCUUUUAAUAUCAGGGUUCUAACUUUACUGUCUGAGAAGGGUAGUAGAAGACAGUGCUUGGUUGGUAGUUUAAGUGGGGCGCUUUUCUCCUAAAAAGUAACGGAGAAGUUUAAAGGUUGGCUAGAUCCGGAUGGAAAUCGGAUUGGUCCUGUAAAGGGAUAAGCCAGCUUGACUGCAAGACGGGUAUGUCGCGCAGAUGCGAAAGCAGAACUUAGUGAACCGACCAUGGUUCGUAGGACCGUGGGAGAUCAUCAGACAAAAGUUACCCUGGGGAUAACAGGCUGGUAGUGCCCAAGAGUCCAUAUCAACGGCACUGUUCGGCACCUUAACAUAUCGGGGUGCAUUAACAGCAAUGUUAUUUAAGAAAUUGGCUUAUAACGGUGGACUCCAUAGUGAAAAUCAGCUAUAACAUAAUCAUUAUGGACAAUACCGUGGGAAGUCUAACACAAUUACAAAGAUCAUUGAUUAUAGGUUCGGUUUUAGGUGACGGGCAUAUUAGAAUUAUGCCUGGUCGCAAAGAUGCUUUUUUAGAAAUAAAUCAUUUCCUAAAAGCAAAAGAUUAUGUAGAUUGGAAAUAUUCUGUACUAAAGAAUAUUUGCGAUUCCGAACCUAAGGAAAGGGAAACCAAUGAAGGUAGAAUAGCUUAUUGUUUUUUUACUAAACAAGAUAAAGAAAUUACAGAAAUAUAUAAUCUCCUUUAUCAA
This 952-nucleotide ribosomal RNA is filed under the name bioreactor metagenome. RNAcentral describes it as "bacterial LSU rRNA". The stretch from base 1 to 623 matches the Rfam family "Bacterial large subunit ribosomal RNA", at positions 1955 to 2925 of the family's 2925-position model. The record is from RNAcentral.